CUGGAAAUUCCCGUUUCCGAGCACCCAAACCCAACAUGAACGGAUACACCCUCCUCGCCUUCUUCGGUGUCAUCGCCGCGGCCUACGCCGGUGGCUACGGCCUCGGCCACGGCUAUGGCGUCGGCCUCGCCUACGGUCACGGCUACGGUCUUGGCUACGGCUAUGGCCACGGCUAUGGACAUGGCUACGCCCUCGGCCACGGCUACGGACACGGCCACCACGGUGCCAUUGUGGCCACCUCUGUGCAGAAGACUGUUCAUCAUGCUCCUGCUCGUGCUGUUGCUGUUGCCCACGGCUAUGGUCAUGGUUACGGCCAUGGUCUUGGCUACGGACAUGGUCUCGGCUAUGGCGUUGCCCUCGGCCACGGUUACGGCUAUGGCCACGGCUUCGGACACUACGGUUAAACUCUAUUCUUACCAUAGGUACAGCAAAACAACAGUAGGAAUGAAACACAGAGACAAGAAAGAGCGCUGCCGUUCAACUGAAUUUGUUGAAAUCAACAAUUUUGCAAGAGGCAAGCGGAAGAUGUAUCCGGCACACGGGUCAAAAAGAGGGUGAGAAGAAAUGGGGAAAUAAAAUUCCUAAUUUAUUGUAAAA
Rhipicephalus sanguineus (brown dog tick) is the source of this 597-nucleotide RNA transcript. It is a transcript of the gene named keratin-associated protein 21-1-like, with no coding region annotated. Lineage: Eukaryota; Metazoa; Arthropoda; Arachnida; Ixodida; Ixodidae. The record is from RefSeq and is a predicted model, not a curated record. The transcript has 5 exons.